AGAGUUUGAUCCUGGCUUAGGACGAACGCUGGCGGCGUGCCUCAUACAUGCAAGUCGAACGAUAAGGUCUCUUCGGAGAUACAUAAGUGGCGGACGGGUGAGUAAUAUGUAGAGAAUCUGCCCUAGAGAUGGGGACAACAGAGGGAAACUUCUGCUAAUACCCAAUAUGAGCGUAGCUGAAAUGCUAUUCUUGAAAACUCCGGUGCUCUGGGAUGAGUCUGCAUCUGAUUAGCUAGUUGGCGGUGUAAUGGACCACCAAGGCGACGAUCAGUAGCUGGUUUGAGAGGAUGAUCAGCCACAAUGGGACUGAGACACGGCCCAUACUCCUACGGGAGGCAGCAGUAGGGAAUUUUGCGCAAUGGGGGAAACCCUUGACGCAGCAACGCCGCGUGAAUGAAGAAGCCCUUCGGGGUGUAAAGUUCUGUCAGUGGGGACGAAACUUGACGGUACCCACAGAGGAAGCAUCGGCUAACUCCGUGCCAGCCGCCGC
RNAcentral lists this ribosomal RNA (490 nucleotides) under uncultured bacterium. RNAcentral's name for it is "bacterial SSU rRNA". It matches the Rfam family "Bacterial small subunit ribosomal RNA", at positions 8 to 518 of the family's 1533-position model. The record is from RNAcentral.